Molecule: ribosomal RNA, 253 nt
Filed under: uncultured bacterium
Lineage: Bacteria
Description: partial 16S ribosomal RNA
Rfam family: Bacterial small subunit ribosomal RNA
Source: RNAcentral
UACGGGGGGGGCAAGCGUUGUUCGGAAUUACUGGGCGUAAAGGGCUCGUAGGCGGCCAACUAAGUCGGACGUGAAAUCCCCAGGCUCAACCUGGGAACUGCGUCCGAUACUGGAUGGCUUGAAUUCGGGAGAGGGAUGCAGAAUUCCAGGUGUAGCGGUGAAAUGCGUAGAUAUCUGAAGGAACAUCAGUGGCGAAAGCGACUUCCUGGACCAAUACUGACGCUCAUGUGCGAAAGCGUGGGGAGCAAACAGG